UUAACACAUGCAAGUCGAACGGACUAAUUGGGGCUUGCUCCAAUCAGUUAGUGAUUUACGGGUGAGUAACACGUGGGAAUCGUACCCAUCAUUACGGAAUAACUUUUAGAAAUAAGACCUAAUACCGUAUAUUCUCUACGGAGGAAAUAUUUAUCGCUGAUGGAUGAGCCCGUGUCACAUUACGUAUUUGGUGAGGUAAUGGCUCACCACCCCGACUAUCUG
RNAcentral lists this ribosomal RNA (222 nucleotides) under uncultured bacterium. RNAcentral describes it as "partial 16S ribosomal RNA". It matches the Rfam family "Bacterial small subunit ribosomal RNA", at positions 48 to 283 of the family's 1533-position model. The record is from RNAcentral.